AAUGCGCGAAAGCGUGACGCAGCAACGCCGCGUGAGGGAAGACGGCCUUCGGGUUGUAAACCUCUUUCAGUUGGGACGAAGCUUCUACGGUGAAUAGCCGAUAGGAGUGACGGUACUUUCAGAAGAAGCCCCGGCUAACUACGUGCCAGCAGCCGCGGUAAUACGUAGGGGGCAAGCGUUGUCCGGAAUCAUUGGGCGUAAAGAGCGUGUAGGCGGUUUCGUCAGUCUGCUGUGAAAGUCCAGGGCUCAACCCUGGAAUGCCGGUAGAUACUGCGAGACUUGAGUCCGGAAGAGGUGAGUGGAAUUCCUGGUGUAGCGGUGAAAUGCACAGAUAUCAGGAGGAACACCAAUUGCGAAGGCAGCUCACUGGGACGGUACUGACGCUGAGACGCGAAAGCGUGGGGAGCAAA
This 410-nucleotide ribosomal RNA is filed under the name uncultured bacterium. RNAcentral's name for it is "bacterial SSU rRNA". It matches the Rfam family "Bacterial small subunit ribosomal RNA", at positions 370 to 772 of the family's 1533-position model. The record is from RNAcentral.